AGAGUUUGAUUCUGGCUCAGAACGAACGCUGGCAGCGUGGAUUAGGCAUGCAAGUCGAACGAGAACCGGAUCGUUCAAGUAGCAAUAUGAGAAUGAUCCGGGGACAGUGGCGGAAGGGUGAGUAACACGUGGGUAAUCUGCCUUCAAGAUGGGGAUAACCCCGCGAAAGCGGGACUAAUACCGAAUGUGGUCUCCCCGCGCAUGCGGGGAAGAUUGAAGGUGGGGAUCCCGCUUCGGCGGGACCUGUCGCUUGGAGAGGAGCCCGCGUCCGAUCAGCUUGUUGGUGAGGUAACGGCUCACCAAGGCUUUGACCGGUAGCUGGUCUGAGAGGAUGGUCAGCCACACUGGGACUGAGACACUGCCCAGACUCCUACGGGAGGCUGCAGUCGAGGAUCUUCUGCAAUGGGCGCAAGCCUGACAGAGCGACGCUGCGUGGAGGAUGAAGGCCUUCGGGUUGUAAACUCCUGUCAUGUGGGAACAAUGGUCCCGGGCCGAUAACUCUCGGGGCGUGAUAGUACUACAAGAGGAAGCCACGGCCAACUCUGUGCCAGCAGCCGCGGUAAUACAGAGGUGGCGAGCGUUGUUCGGAUUUACUGGGCGUAAAGGGUGUGUAGGUGGUUCCGUAUGUCGGGUGUGAAAGCCUGCGGCUCAACCGCGGAAUUGCAUCCGAAACUACGGGGCUAGAGUGCAGGAGAGGAGAGCGGAAUUCUUGGUGUAGCGGUGAAAUGUGUUGAUAUCAAGAAGAACGCCGGUGGCGAAGGCGGCUCUCUGGAAUGCAACUGACACUGAAACACGAAAGCUGGGGGAGCAAACAGGAUUAGAUACCCUGGUAGUCCCAGCCGUAAACGGUGUGCACUUGGUGUGGGGAGUAUUGACCCUUCCCGUGCCGGAGCUAACGCGUUAAGUGCACCGCCUGGGGAGUACGGCCGCAAGGCUGAAACUCAAAGAAAUUGACGGGGCCCGCACAAGCGGAGGAGCAUGUGGCUCAAUUCGAUGCAACGCGAAGAACCUUACCAGGGCUUGACAUGUAGCUGCAGUCCCGCUGAAAGGCGGGAUGCCUUCGAGGGUGCUACACAGGUGCUGCAUGGCUGUCGUCAGUUCGUGCCGUGAGGUGUUGGGUUAAGUCCCGCAACGAACGCAACCCUUGUGUCUAGUUGCCACUGUCCGUGAUGAACGGACAAGCACUCUAAACAGACUGCCCCGUGAAAUGGGGAGGAAGGUGGGGACGACGUCAAGUCAGUAUGGCCCUUAUGCCCUGGGCUGCACACGUGCUACAAUGGCCGGCACAGUGGGAUGCGAAACCGCGAGGUGAAGCAAAUCCUCAAAACCGGCCCCAGUUCAGAUUGAAGUCUGCAACUCGACUUCAUGAAGUUGGAUUCGCUAGUAAUGGCGCAUCAGCUACGGCGCCGUGAAUACGUUCCCGGGCCUUGUACACACCGCCCGUC
RNAcentral lists this ribosomal RNA (1445 nucleotides) under metagenome. RNAcentral's name for it is "bacterial SSU rRNA". It matches the Rfam family "Bacterial small subunit ribosomal RNA". The record is from RNAcentral.